CCUCCAGACUCCUACGGGAGGCAGCAGUGAGGAAUAUUGGUCAAUGGUCGGGAGACUGAACCAGCCAAGCCGCGUGAGGGAUGAAGGUACAGAGUAUCGUAAACCUCUUUUGUCAGGGAACAAAGGCGGGGACGUGUCCCCGGAUGAGUGUACCUGAAGAAAAAGCAUCGGCUAACUCCGUGCCAGCAGCCGCGGUAAUACGGAGGAUGCGAGCGUUAUCCGGAUUUAUUGGGUUUAAAGGGUGCGUAGGCGGACAGUCAAGUCAGCGGUAAAAAUGCGGUGCUCAACGCCGUACAGCCGUUGAAACUGGCAGUCUUGAGUGGGCGAGAAGUAUGCGGAAUGCGUGGUGUAGCGGUGAAAUGCAUAGAUAUCACGCAGAACUCCGAUUGCGAAGGCAGCAUGCCGGCGCCCGACUGACGCUGAGGCACGAAAGCGUGGGGAUCGAACAGGAUUAGAUACCCGCGUAAA
Molecule: ribosomal RNA, 468 nt
Filed under: uncultured bacterium
Lineage: Bacteria
Description: bacterial SSU rRNA
Rfam family: Bacterial small subunit ribosomal RNA
Source: RNAcentral